CGUGCUGUGAACGUAGCCGACCUACUCCAACGGUGGACCAACAACCAACUCAUCGCCACGACUGACGGAUCCACUACCAUUUAGAAGACGACCUGUCAGUCCUCACUCGACUACCCUGCCUGCGCUGACCAACGUCUGGGACUUGAAUGAACUUCUGGAGAUCCCGACGGGGCACUGCGAUAAACUGGCGGAUAUCGGAGGGACCUGGAUGUGUAGAGCCUUUGAUGGAGACAAAGAUGUAUGUUUGGACCCGUGGUACACACCCGCCUACAACUCGUGCCUGAUUUACUCGUUUGGUGUCGGCAACGACAUCACAUUUGAGAAGAUCAUGUCCGACCUCUGGGGCUGUCACGUCUUCCUGCACGACCACACUGUCAACCACACCCAGACAAUGGAAUGGAAAAAAUAUGGUUU
Hyalella azteca is the source of this 414-nucleotide long non-coding RNA. RefSeq lists it as uncharacterized. Lineage: Eukaryota; Metazoa; Arthropoda; Malacostraca; Amphipoda; Hyalellidae. The transcript has 3 exons. The record is from RefSeq and is a predicted model, not a curated record.